Molecule: long non-coding RNA, 130 nt
Organism: Thalassophryne amazonica
Lineage: Eukaryota; Metazoa; Chordata; Actinopteri; Batrachoidiformes; Batrachoididae
Exons: 4
Source: RefSeq, a predicted model, not a curated record
GAUAAUUGUUGAUUUACAGAAGUUGGGAAGGGCUCUUGGAGCCAUUUCUAAACAGCUGCAGAUUCCAAGAUCAUCAGUACAAACAACUGUACAUAAGUACGAGUUAUUGCAAGGUGGAGCAACUUUGUAA